UGACUUUUUUCAUCCUUCUUUUUUUUAUUUCUCCUUCCCUUUGUCUGUCUCAAAAUGGCAUCUGAGAACUUCAGACAGUGGCUUGAGGAGGGGAAAGCGUUGGCAGAUGAGUUGGAAGCCAAAAAGCCAUCAAAGAAAAGGAAACAGAAGGGAACCGGAGGCUCCAAUGUUUCCUGGAGGACGAGGGACCAUAAUGGGUACAUAGUACCAAAAUUCAUCAGAAAGAAUCGAUCUGUUAAACACAGGCGCACUAUGGAGGUGCCAGAAGUUGAGACCUCGCAGAUGGAUGAAGUUCCUCAAGAGGUCACAAAUCUUGGUAUGCAUAUUGAAUUCUGUCAGCUCAAAUAGAGUCAAACUUAAUCUUCUAGUUUG
Melanotaenia boesemani (Boeseman's rainbowfish) is the source of this 372-nucleotide long non-coding RNA. RefSeq lists it as uncharacterized. The record is from RefSeq and is a predicted model, not a curated record. The transcript is spliced from 3 exons. Lineage: Eukaryota; Metazoa; Chordata; Actinopteri; Atheriniformes; Melanotaeniidae.